RNAcentral lists this ribosomal RNA (442 nucleotides) under uncultured bacterium. Its description in RNAcentral is "partial 16S ribosomal RNA". It matches the Rfam family "Bacterial small subunit ribosomal RNA", at positions 338 to 795 of the family's 1533-position model. The record is from RNAcentral.
CCUACGGGAGGCAGCAGUAGGGAAUCUUUCACAAUGGGCGAAAGCCUGAUGGAGCAACGCCGCGUGCAGGAUGAAGGCCUUCGGGUUGUAAACUGCUUUUAUAAGCGAGAAAUAUGAUGGUAACUUAUGAAUAAGGAUCGGCUAACUACGGGCCAGCAGCCGCGGUCAUACGUAGGAUCCGAGCAUUAUCCGGAGUGACUGGGUGUAAAGAGUUGCGUAGGUGGCAUAAUAAGUAGCUAGUGAAAUCUGGUGGCUCAACCAUUCAGACUAUUAGCUAAACUGUUAAGCUCGAGACCGUUAGGGGUAACUGGAAUUUCUAGUGUAGGAGUGAAAUCCGUAGAUAUUAGAAGGAACACCAAUAGCGUAGGCAGGUUGCUGGGACGGUUCUGACACUAAGGCACGAAAGCGUAGGGAGCAAACGGGAUUAGAUACCCGUGUAGUC